UACGUACGACCCAAGCGUUAUUCGGAAUCACUGGGCUUAAAGAGUCCGUAGGCGGUCAGGAAAGUUGGGUGUGAAAUACCUCAGCUCAACUGAGGAAUUGCGCUCAAAACUACCUGGCUCGAGAAAGACAGAGGUGAGCGGAACUGAUGGUGGAGCGGUGAAAUGCAUUGAUAUCGGAAGGAACGCCGGUGGCGAAAGCGACACACUGGACCGCUUCUGACGCUGAGGCGCGAAAGCCAGGGGAGCAAACGGG
Molecule: ribosomal RNA, 253 nt
Filed under: uncultured bacterium
Lineage: Bacteria
Description: partial 16S ribosomal RNA
Rfam family: Bacterial small subunit ribosomal RNA
Source: RNAcentral